This 5639-nucleotide long non-coding RNA is filed under the name Equus caballus (horse). RNAcentral describes it as "lncRNA (ENSECAG00000040711.2)". The record is from RNAcentral. Lineage: Eukaryota; Metazoa; Chordata; Mammalia; Perissodactyla; Equidae.
AUGAUGGAUUCUAUAUGAAUUUUCAUAUUUUUCUAUUGUAAUAGCAAACACUUUAUUGAGGUUUUCAAUUGCCAGUUCAUAAGCAGGUGUCAGACUGACCCACAUAAGAAUAAUGUAUAGAACUUGCUAAAAUAAAAGAUUUCUGCUUCCUAUACCUAGCAUUUGUGAUUCAGCAGGACUGGUGUGAGUUCUAUGAAUCCCUAUUUUAAUAACUCUUCAGAAUUUUUAAACACCUUAGAUGAUAUUAAUAGAUUACUUCUGUCCACCUUUUACUCUGUACUUGUAAGGAAUGUGAUGGGGUUCAGGGCAGGCCUCCCCAAGAUGCACCACUCUGGUAUGUGGACUAUUUCGAGCUGAAUACAAUAAAGACUCAGAAGACUCAGGAAGAGCAUCCGACCGACCUUCCUGCCCCCAAACUGCCUGAAAGACUUUAACAGAGAAGGCCUGUUCCAGGAAGGAGCUCAUACCAUGUGAUAGCUAUGGCAUGAUGUAAAAUAGGUGUGAUAAAAGGACACCUACAAACCCAUUUUCUUGGCCCAGCAAAACCUGUUUAACUAACAUUUGCAUUCCAUCUCUGUGUAGAUUGUCUUACUCUACUUUGAAGCCCCAAAUCAAUAUCCCCAGUGUCCUCCUUGUCUGUAGGUAAAGAUAUUUAAACAGGCAGCCUUGGCCAGAUGGUUGAGUUGCUCAGUUUCUCCUGAGUUUCUCCUGUGUAUACAUGCUGUUAAACUGUUUGAUUUUCUCCUGCCUCUUUAAUUAUUUGACCAGCCAUAAGAACCUUCAGGAAGAGUCGGGGGGUUGGGGGGGUGGUGUGGAUUCUCCCACCUCCCCAACAACUGUUUUAAGCCAGGUAGGUUCCAAAGUUCUUUGUGAUAUGAUACCCACUUUGGGGGAAAACCUGAACAAAAUAAACUAUACUUUUUGAAAUGGAAAAUAGGGAGAACUUCUUUCUUUUUAAUUUUUAUAGAAGACCAAAUUCCCAUAUGUCUAUUUGCUAGAAAUUAGCUUCCUGAAAAGGUCUUGCAGCUGCUUCUGAGAUUUAGGCAGAUUUUGUUGCUCAUGUGCUGUUGAACAAGUCUCUUAGGGUGUUCUCAUCAGCCUUUUUCCUUUCUGUCCGUGUCACAAUCGCUGCCACUUCUGUGCCAGUGACUGACAUUGAAGUCUUACUUUGGCCCUAUUGAGGGGACUCUGGCUUUAUUGUUUUUUUCUUACUGCUUGUUAUGCACAGAGCUCUCUGGAAGACCUCACACUGCUGUCCCGGACUCCAAGUGCCCCCGAGCCUCACGACUCUAUGCUUAGGGGGCUACCUCUUCGUUGCUGUGACUCGGUGGAAGUUGGGAGCAGUUUGUCUGCUCCUUGCAUCUCUUCAGGUGGCCAAGAGGAGAACUCCUACCCCAUCAGGACUGCUCCAGGAACUAAGAAAAGGCCAUGUGAACACACAGCAAAAUGGGGGCCAUCUGCAAGACAGAAAGAGAGUUCUCACCAGAAACUAAACUCUACCAGACCUUGAUCUUGGACUUUCCAGCCUCCAGAACUGUGAUAAAAUCAAUUUCUUUUGUUUAAGACACCCUGUCUAUGGUAUUUUGUUAUGGCAGCUUGAGCUGACUAAUACAACCCCCAUCAAACAUCAACACUUUCAAAGGCAAAACAUCAUUUAUUCAAAGAAGAUGUUAUUUGACAAAAUUUUAAAAGAACACACAACAAACAGCAUAAAUUGACGUAGUGUGGAUAAACAUCAUUUGGCGUCCCUUGGCUUCUGAAAUCUAGAUACAAUUGUCUUCAAACCCUUCUUCCCGCCUUUUUGCCACGGGAAGACCACAGUCCACACGGAUGUCUGCACAUCCCUUGAAGGAGGAGGAAGACAUUUCCUCUAACCACUCUGGAUCCUUCUGGCCAGAAAACGAAUAAAAUUCACAUGAGACAGAAUAACAGAAGAAAAUUAAACAAAGCUUUAUAACAUGUAUACAUGGGAGAGACUCAGGCAAACUCAGCUACUUGCCAAAAUGGUAGAAGCUCUCACCUUGAACACCACCCUCAGGAGUGGGCCUUUGUGAUCCUGUGUGCCCCUCAGAAUCCUCUCUCUGGGUUAAGGAAUUGAGCUAAUGUAAAAAAAUUGGAUCUUCUCCCUAGGAAUAUGAAACUGGGGCUCAGAAAAUAGAGAAUACUGUCAGACACCUCAAACGAGAAUGAAGAGUUGCAAUUGCAGGAAGAAAUAUGACUGGUCCUUAUUUGAACUCUGGUCCAUUUCCUACCCAGAAGGAAUUAAGACUCUGCCCUGGUUUCUAUGUCAUCCUCCACCAUGAGAUGAAAAAUGAGAGCCCAUAAGGAGUCAGAAAACAAAGCAUUGCCUUUGAAGAUAUGUAUGAGUUGCUAACAAAUGACUGACUCUGGAUCUGAACAAUGAAAGCCAGAGAAUGAAAGACAUACCCAAGCAAAUCAUGCUGAUCAGAAUUACUAAUAUAUGUGAUCUUCUUGGUAUCUGGACAUCAGCUUUUCCAAAGCACCAUUAUUGGCAAAUCUGUAAAUUUUAAAAUCUGCAAUUGUGCUGGGUAGCAAUGGCGCCCUCCAAGUUUCAGUCCCUCACAAUGUGCUGUUCACCCUGCUCCCGAAAGGAUCCCGAGGGCUGGGAGCCAAAUAUAUAUAUCUUUCUCCACUCUCCCCACAAGCAGAAGGUUGCAGAAAUCUCCUUUUGGGAACCUGACCAAUCCUCUAAAAAAGACUUACAGAUAGUGAAGUCGGGAGUUUCUUAACGAGAUGGACAAGUCAAGUCCUGCUAUAAUAAAGGCUCUGUUUUCCGGGAAGAGAAGGAAAUGGAAGGAUUGAGUGCGGAAUUCCUUUGGUACAGAGUGAAGCAUGGCCACAGGCUCGAGAGGUGAUAUGGUGCAGCAGCAAGUUCAUGGGCUUUGAAGUACAGCAGAUUCGGGUGUGAAACCCAGCUCUGGAAAUUACUAGCUGAGGACUUGGAGCUCUACCAAUGCUGCUUACUCAAAUGUGAUAGGACGGCUUAUGCUUAUCUGUGAGUUGAUUGUCAUAGGUGUGUAAUAAGAAAAGAAAUUGAGGAGUAAGGAUUUAAAAACUAUCAAGGUGCCAUUUCUGUGAGAUCACUUUUGUGAUCACUGGGUUUGUCUCACUGAAUGGGGUACAGACUCGCGCAAGCGCUGUUCAACUUGGGACGAAAGCUGCAUUCUAGUUGUGCACAGUAGGACCAGGAGACAACACGUGAUUAUUUAGUUUGACGGGAAGAAUUAAACAACAAUAAGAAGAAAGUAUGGCUAUUUAUUUUAAAAAUCGCAAAUUUUCAUCAUAUUUUAAAUGUAUAGUUUGCCAUUAUUGGAUAAAUUAAGGAAUUAAAUUUUAACUGUAAUUUGCAGAAGGUAAAGAAGAUUUACAAGAAUUGUUUUGUUAAGAAAUGACACAACUUUUCUUUCAGAAGUACUAUAUCAAAUAAUGGGAGUUAUUUCAAGGAAUGAAGAAGAAAUUUUAACUCUAAUUUACACAUGGUUAAAGAAGAUGCACUGCACCUUUUGUCAAGAAAUGGCACACCUUUUCUUUCAGUAGUGUGUUAAAUAAUGAUUGAAUUUGCUUCAGAGAAACGAAGACCAAAAGAGGUCAAGCUAGUUUUACUCAGAACUAUUAUCCCUCAUAUAUUAAAUUUAUUUUGUAGCUAUAAUAGGUGAUGAAGUGAUAAAAAAGAGUGUUAUUUGCUGAGAUGAAUUAGCUACUGAAGCAAUUAAACCAUCAAAACUUAAGUGGCGUUUACAUUCACAGCAUAAAGAAAUACAUCCAAAGCCACAAGAAUACUUUGAAAGGAAGAGUAUUGAAAUAGAAAGCUGACGGUAGCAGAUGUUCGAUAUUUCACAUAUAAACUUUACUGCUUUGCAGACUUUGUAUAAGGUAGCACUUCAGUUUCCUAAGAAUAAAAACAUCAUAUACAAUUACUGAGAAGCUAGUGAACAACUGUAUUAAAGAGUUUAUCUGGAAAUGUGUCUAUGGCAAAGCAGGUGACUCAAGUAUCACUUGCCAAUAAAACUAUAACUUGACAUAUUCAAAAAUUGGCUAAUGAGAUAGAAGACCAACUUACAGAAAAAAAUAAAGCUAGCGAAGUUUUUUUGUUUUUGGUUUUUUUCAGUGAGGAAGUUUGACCCUGAGCUAACAUCUGACACCCAUCUUCCUCUUUUACACCUAGGAAGAUUGUUGCCGAGCUAACAUCUGUGCCAAUCUUCCUCUAGUUUUUGUAUGUGGGAUGCUGCCACAGCAUGGCUUGAUGAGUGGUGUGUAGGUCUGCUCCUGAAAUCUGACCCCAGAAACCAAGGAUGCUGAAGCAGAGCUCACGAAUUUAACUAUGCCAACGGGCUGGCCCCUGCAAAGUAUUUUUUAUUACAAUUUGAUGAAUUCCAUAGCAUAACAUGGUAAUGCUUUUAAAAUUUAUGCAGUCUAAACAUUAUGUUGAUAUGAUGGAGGAAUAUUUUUCAGAUUAAUUGAUGACAAACAUGACUAGCCCUGAAUUGUGCAAAACUAUGACAGGUAGCAUUGUCAACAAAUGUGGUUUGGAAUUUAAGUUUUGUGUAGGAGUAUGUUCUGUGGGGUAGUCAUCCAGAAUAAGAAGCUUGCGACAGAAUGUAAAUUGAUACAGUACUUCUUCACAGAGAAAAUAUUGCCAAAAAAAAAAAAAUCAACUGUCAGCUAUUCAGUUGGUUUAGAUGUGAACUAUGUAAAGACUGUGUGUUAUAUUUUAAAAUAUUCUUUUAAUUAUAUGAUAAUACAGAAGAUGAUCAUAAAUGACUGAUAUUGCAUGUAGGAUUAUGAUAGCUAACUGAGAAAAAUAUUUUAUUGAGAGUGCUUGACAUAUGGAACACACUCCAAAUAUUCUUCAAGAUAAACUGGUUUUGUCACAGUUUUAAGGAAGUGAAUUGGACAGCCAGACUUGCUAAUUGCUUUGAUAUAUUUGGUAUUUUUAAUUCUUUAUUACUUCCACGCAAUGAAUAAAUUUAACAUGAUUUCAAUGACAGAUAAAAUCAAGGGCACACGAAAAAGUUAAAAGUUUAGAACAGUGUCUAUAGAUUGUUACACAACAUUCCAUAAUUAACAAUAAUUAUAAAUGAAGCAGAUGAUGAUUUUGAUGUUGGCCAUUUGCAAAAAGGUUGUCAAUGGACACCUUAACCAUUUGAUAUAUCAUUUUAAUUUUAUUUUCCAUUAAAAGGAAAUCCAUACAUAGGAAACUCGUGGAUCCAGAUUUUAUUCCUUUCAUUGAAAGAUAAUUUAAAUUUAACUAUGAGAUAAAGUUUAUAAGAUAAACUGGUGAGACUGGCUACUGGUGAGAAUUGAAGAUGAAUUUUGAAAGGACAGCAUCACUUGCAUCAUUUUGGAUGAAAGUUAAAAAUGAAUAUACUGAGCUUGCUGAAAGUGUUUUUAAAAUUUCUUCUUCCAUUUCUACUAAUAUACUUCUGCGAGAUUGGUUACUAUGAGCAUCAUUCAAACGUAACAUAGAUGUAUUUAAAUAUAUAUUAAAUAAUAUUGUAAUCAUGCAACCUAAAUUAAAUAAAUUAACAUGUGGAAAUCCAGAUACUUUAUCAGAUUAAAAACUUUAAAUAUUGGUUGCACAUCGUUCAUUCAAAAUGUAAAUAGGCAUUUAAUAUGAG